UUUUUUUAAUUCUUUUAAAUGUGACUUUUUCUACAUACCAAGUUGGGCACGUUACCCAAGAGCAUUAGUAGAUGCUAUUUGAAUGGAUGCCGCCUUCUCUGUUUCUGCCCUAAGUUUUCUUGAAAGCGGUGAAUGGUGACCUCACAACCUGUUCCGCUAGUGCCGUUGCAAAGUGUGCAUGAACACUCGGCACAAACAAGCAGAAAUUCUAAUUUUCCUGAGCUCCUCAACAGACAAUCACCAGCAACCAAGCUGCCUUCAUCAGCUGAGCCACGCUGACUUGUAUACCAUGUGUAGUUAGCUGGGGUCGGUAGAUGAGCUACGAGCGUGGGGUUACGCCAAUGCUUUAGACUUCAGCUUGAGCAGGGUGGAUGUCUGCGCAAGCGCAAAUCACGUGCCUUGGUUGGCACAUGGUGCGCAUGGAGUUGAGGCGUCACGAUCGCUUUUGGUUACUUCUCGGUCCUCUUAGCAAAAUUGAUCACGGAGCCUCAGAACAGUACCAGGAGGCAGGAGCUCUCUCUUUCAGGUCACUUACCGAGUUUCAGUAGGCCUGAUUUAUGACAUGAUCCUGCGUGCAUUGUUUUCUCUGUCAAAUAUUUUUCCUUUACAAAAAGAGGCAUAGUCUCAGUCUUGGCUGGAUGUUCUGGUUCCACUCGUUUCUAACUGACUGAAGUGCUCCUGCAAAGGACAGAAACAGAGACCGUGGAAGCGCGGCUUCGCUUCAGGCUUGUGAGCCUGCCCCAUCCCUUUCUCCUGUAGGGACUAGCCAGGUAACUGCGGCUUCUGAGCAAGUACAGCUUCUGCGCGGGUCAGCUGAAGAGCGUAAGAAGACAUCAUCGUAACUGUUGUUCUGAGCUGAGCUGGAAUCAGGGGGCUGACCCAGGCAUGGCUUGGCUUGUAUCCAUUUUCAUUCCUCCCUCUGUUGUUACGGCUUUCAAACGGAGACUAGAAGUGGGAUCCCCACAGGCCUGUAAAGGGUUGGCAACCAACAGGUUGUGGCUUUCUACAGUCGGAGGCUCUGAAAACUUGGCCAUAUUCAGUCAUCACGAUCCAGUGCAUAACUCCUGCUUACUUCUGCGUUCGCUGUGCACUCCAAAGAGUUUACGUAUUUCUCGAGUGGGCCAGCUCUGCAGUGAUAAGAUUACGUCUCGGGAGAAGGAUAGAAAGAAGUACUUGCAGAAGAAGCUUAGUUUGCAAGCUGAGGGCUUCACGAAGCAUUGAGCAAUAGUCGACAUGGAUGUGUGACUGUUGCAGUCAGUGUACUACCCGAACCUUUUCAGUAACAGCAGACACAUCCUAAAGACCAGAGACUCCCAGCUUUUGGGGGUAGGGACAAGCAAUAGUUCAGAAGCUGGGACGUCUAAUUUUAUCAGAGGACACAGAAACGCCGCUGCCUCACAGAGCAGUCUUGAGAGUUACUCUGCCGCUGCUGCACCCUGACGUGAUUGUAAGAAUCUGCUUCAGCUUCUCCUGCUAGUGAAUCCAGGCCUCUAAUAAGGCAGGCAGGUGGGAUCAAGGAUAACAUAACACAAACAGCUUUAAUGCUUAUCUUGAGUCACACGUUGAACAUAACCUUGUUCUUUCUUUAUUACUAGGAUGGGCUUGAGAGAGCUUUGUUGUCAGGCAUCUAGCAAAUACAGUCACGGGUGCUUUGGAAAGGGAAAUGGGUGAGAAGGUGCAAUUGAUUGUAACUAUCCUUGCAAACUAUUGCCCUUCUGGCUCUUACCACGUUUGUUCCAUGACCUGUCAGCUUCAAACUUCAUGGAGGGAAUGCAACCGUGCUGUUGAAAGACCACAUUAAUGUGGUUGCUUUAGUUUUCGUUCUGUUCAGUAGUGAUCCUGUGAGGCCUCUGCGAUGUAAUUAAGUUUUUCAGGCUCAGCUACUGCAGCAUGGUGCUGAGGGACAGCUGGUAGGAAACACUCAGGACAGAGAUUUGAAUGGGUUUAAGACAGUCAUGAGUACAGCCCAAAAGCAUUCGGUCAAGUUCAAGUGUGGCCCAUUCAACAAGUCAUUACCACAGCCCUGUCAGUGUGUGGUCACUUAACCCUGCUGUCUGGUUUCCAGAUGACUUUGUAGUGUUUACACCUAAGACACCAGGGAAGUUGCAAAGCACUGCCAGCUCGUCUCCUGCUAGAAGCUCCGUCCCCAUUUACUGCAGACGGCAGACUCCUACUCUCGUGCAGCUGUAUAGAAAUUACCUCUCUCGGAAAAUGUUCCCCAUUUACAUGGCUUUGUGCGAAUGAGUUUCUGCCUCUGUGGUCUGAGUUGGCAGGCAGACCUGAGUAAUGCCCACUCUGUGUGACUGGCCUUUGGCCAGCCAUUCAUAAAAACUCUGUUUCCUGAAUGUGUGGCCACACGUUCCUUCACCCUUACCAGCCUGCUCUGCUGGGGGCUCUAGCACAGCUGGGCACGUGCAGCAGUGAGUGAGCAGCACGAGAAAGCCGAGCUGAGGUUGGCCACUCGGUCUUGGCAUACUCCUCUCCUGCAGCGGGAGAUGGGAAUGGAGGUGGUAGUUGUGACUAUAGUAGGCAUGAUUUGAAGGCAGGGGCCCUUGGAAAGAGAACACUGAGCUCUGCGCUGAGCUAAGCUCCUCUUUCUUUAACGCUGUGCGGCCAGGGUUUCUCUCCUUCCCCGCAAACGGCCAGAUGCCUUGAGUGAGCUUGUCUGCACCGAAUCAUCUGAGUCUGGAAAACAGAUGGGAGUAGGGUUGACUUGUCACCUUGCCUUGUUUUUGUGAGAUUUAAUUGGCAGAGGUAUCUUUUAGACGGGUAAACCCCAAUUCUUCCGCUUUCACAGUCCACUCACAGGGCCUGAAAAAGGGCCAAACGCGUUUCUGUCCUUGUUGGCUGUAUUUCAACGGCUCGAGGUUUGCACGGUGCAUUGGAAGGCUGGUUUUGGUCUCAUCCUGUCUUGUCCGUGUCUCACCCCACCGCAUUGGAUGCUACAGUGUGUGCUGCUUCUCUGCCAGUCGUGAGAGCUGUGAAAGCAAAUUCCAGCUUGCUGUGAGGCAGACGACUGCAGUCAUUGUGCAGGCCACAUGUGGCAAGUCCAGGGUCUUUCUUUUUCUUGGUUUUUUCUUUUCUUCCCCAGUGCCUAGGGCUUGGUGUGCAUCUCUGCAGACAGUGUGUGCGUGCCCCUCUUCCUACCCCAGUAUGUCUGUGACUGCAGAGCCAAGCCUACACACAAGAGCUCUUUGUGCAGGCCUGGCUGAGUCACGCAAACAGAUGACCCUGAUGCCAAAAGGCGUUGCCUCUGUCCCUUUUUUCAUUUAGCUCACGUCUCAUGUACCUAUGCAGCAUGGUUGGGUUGAAUGACUUGAGGACAAAAUACAAUGAACAUCAAAUUGUUUUAUUA
Molecule: long non-coding RNA, 3355 nt
Organism: Falco peregrinus (peregrine falcon)
Lineage: Eukaryota; Metazoa; Chordata; Aves; Falconiformes; Falconidae
Exons: 2
Source: RefSeq, a predicted model, not a curated record